This 33503-nucleotide long non-coding RNA is filed under the name Malus domestica (apple). RNAcentral's name for it is "long non-coding RNA (MDOM_LNC006133)". The record is from RNAcentral. Lineage: Eukaryota; Viridiplantae; Streptophyta; Magnoliopsida; Rosales; Rosaceae.
UGUUAUUUACAUUUCAUGCAGAUUCACGGUCGGAUUUACGUUGUUCCAAGACCUCCGGUUUUGUGCAUCAACAUUUGGCGCCGUCUGUGGGAAUCGACACGAAAAGUUAUGUCGGUUCUCUUUCAUUUUUUUCACCUCCACCGUGAAUCUGCAAAAUCUGUAAAAACCCAAGAACCCAAAACUUUCCUAAAAAACCCAGAAACAGAAAAAGAUCCAAAUUCUAAACUACUAAAUAAACUCCCCAAUCCCACCCUCUAUGUGUCCGAUGUCCCAAUCGAACAUGUCAUCAAACGCCCAAUAUUGCGGUUUGAUCUGUCCGGUGUCAUCUCAUCUGUCACUUCCAAAUCAGUUUCCUGGUGGAAUCCCAUCUGUUGGAAGGAAUAUUCUUGGUUUACAGCUAGAGCCAUGGCGUCGAGUUCUCCGAGCCCUCGUUGUUAUAAAACUCUUGGCCGCAUACGAUCGAGCACCUUAGAAAAGAAGCUCUGCAGCUUGUUUGUUCAUUUGGUUCUUCAAGAAGCCCAGGAAACGCAGUAGGCAGAGAGAAGCUUGGAAAACGCCAUGGCUUCCUCCCAGAAACUUAUCAGACGAGAUCCAAAAAGCCGUCUAAGCAGUUGUCACCUCUCUCGCGCUCCCUCCCUUUCGUCCAAAAGUACACACUCUCUUUCUCUCCCUCAAUCUCUUAUCUCUAUAACAUAUAUAUAUAUAUAUAUAUAUAUAUAUCUCUCUCCCAACACACCAUGACCGAACUCGUCUCCUCCACCUGAUCGAAAGAAAUCAACUCGAUUCGUGUUCGGCAAUCAGAUCAUCAAUUUUAACAAGAUUCUAUCUUUUAUAAAACCCAGGAAAACAAAACCCACAUACUACUAUUCCCAUGUUGUUCAUUGAGCAAUUGCUGACUUAGGCACCUCCCUAUUGGCUGAACCAAUGACAUGAGAUUUCACCCUGGAGGUAUGUACACGUUUUAGUCUGCUCAUGUUCAAAUGUUAGGUGGAGUGAGCUGUGUCAUUCCAAGUGUGUAUUGCUAACAGCUCAUCAGCCAUAAAUAAAAUAUGUAAGCAUUACUCAUGAAAAAGAAAAAAAAAGGAUUCCCUAGGACACAGAUGAGAAACGGCUCAAGGAAUAUUUCAGGAAGUAUGGAGAGAUGGUGGAGGCUGUGAUCAUGAGGGAUCGUGCAAAGGCGGAGAUAAGAUUAAUGUACUUAUCAUUCCUUGUAUGCCAUCUGCAAAAGAGAAAAGAAGACAUAAACAAAGCAAAAGUAAAGCAGAAAAGGAAAAGAGAAAAGAAGAAGAGUGGCACAUGGAGACACUGCAAAAGUAAGGAAUAAACACUCCACCAGAAUGAUGUAAUUUAUUUUAUCUUUCGGAAAUAUCUGUAUAAACCCCAUCAGAGGGUAAAAAAAAAAAAAAAAAAAACGGCAAAGCCCAAAAUAAAUGGGCUAGCAUGUUGUGGAGAGCGAAGGCCCAUAAGCCCAAAAUAGCACCAACCAGGUCACCAAAAGUACGCCCAGUACUCCACAAUUAUUUGGCAACCCGCCACUAUUACCACCAACCAGGUGACCAAAAGUACGCCCAAUACUCCAAAAUUAUUCGGCAACCCGCCCUUAUUACCACCAACCAAGUGAUGAAAUGUACAACUUGUACUCUAAUUUGGCAACUAGCCAUUCAUGCCACCAACCAGGUGAUGAAAUGUACAACCCGUACUCUCCUUCAUGCCACCAACCAGGUGAUCAAAAGUACGCCUAGUACUCCAAAUUAUACAUGAGCAUUACUCAUGUCAUUCAUACAUAAACAUUCUUGAGCAUCACUCAUGACAAUCAUACAUAAACAUUCAUGACUAUCAUUUAUGUCAACAUUUAUGAGCAUCACUCAUGUUAACAUUCAUGAGCAUCACUCAUGACAACAUCCAUGAGCAUCACUCAUGUUAACAUUCAUGAGCAUCACUCAUGACAACAUCCAUGAGCAUCACUCAUGUCAAUCAACAUAAACAUUCAUGAGAAUCACUCAUGUCAAUCAACUUCAAAAGCUUCAUUUACAGAGCUCUAGCUUCAAAAGCUUGAUUUACAAUAGCUCUAGCUUCAAAAGCUUCAUUUACAGAGCUCCAGCUUCAAAGCUUCAUUUGCAAAGCUUCACCUACAAAGCUUCAGUGCAAGGUAUACAAAUACCGCCUCCGAACAACCGCUACUUCGGCCCACACAUGAAUUCAAGAAGUCCCCAGCCAAAAGACUCUAUUGACCGAAGACUUAGGGACUACAGUAUGUACCAUAUAUUGGGCCUCAACUGGGCCUCAUGAAAAAUACUUGGGGGACUCUAGCCCAUUAUUUAUGUAUUAAGGAGUGAGCCCUUAUUUUAUAAAAGGGACUCCCUCACCAUCAUUAGAGCAACAUCAACUCUAGCCCAUUAUUCAUGUACUGAGGAGCGAUCCCUUAUUUUAUAAAAGGGACUCCCUCACCUUCAUUAGAGAGCAAACGCCGCUAGCUGAGCAACCGCCUCGCUAUGAGCAUCGACUCUAGCCCAUCAUUUAUGUAUUGAGGAGCGAGCCCUUAUUCUAUAAAAGGGACUCCCUCGCCAUCAUUAGAGAGCAUCGCCGAGCAACCACCUCGCUACGAGCAUCAACUCUAGCCCAUCAUUUAUGUAUUGAGGAGCGAGCCCUUAUUCUAUAAAAGGGACUCCCUCACCAUCAUUAGAGAGCAUCGCCGAGCAACCGCCUCGUUACGAGCAUCGACUCUAGCCUAUCAUUUCUAUAUUGAGGAGCGAGCCCUUAUUAUAUAAAAGGGACUCCCUCACUUCAACGCCACAGGCCAAACCAAUCAAGGCAACAUAAGCCACAAGCCAAGCAGUCUCGCAACGUGUGCAACUUCUAGAUGAGCAUCAUUUCACUUUGAGCGCCGCCUCAUAACGGGCAUCAGUUCAAGACAACAUCUAGUUACUUUGGCCCACACAUGGACUGAAUUUCAAGUCUCUAGCCAAAAGACUCUUUUGACUGAAGACUUGGGGGACUACUGUUUAUACCAUAUUUAGGGCCUCGUAUUUAGACCUCGUAUAAAUACUCGGGGUACUUAAAUGUAAUUAAGUAAUAAAGGAAGGGGCAAAUAUGUAAUAAGUGAGGAAUCCUUAUUCUAUAAAAGGACCUCUCACCCUCACAAUUUGGGGAGGCAAACUCUUAGGCCUGAAACCCUCUCACAUCUCUUCUCAUUACAGAGGUUCUCUCACUUACCUCUCAGAUAAAUACAUAAUCAGUAUGGAUGUAGCCCAAACCUUGGGGGUGAACCACGAUACAUCCUGUGUUAUUUACAUUUCAUGCAGAUUCACGAUCGGAUUUACGUUGUUCCAAGACCUCCGGUUUUAUGCAUCAACAUAGGCGUUGAGCCAUAUUAGACACAGAACCUGCACACUGAACACUAAGAGCCAGAGAAUCCUUAACAACCAACUCAUCAAACCGUUUGGAAAGUAGUCUGUUAUCUUUGGGAGUGAGAAGAUUCCUGGCCACCACCGCAGCGGUCAUAUCAUUCUUCAUCACAGAGGCCCCAACGGUAAGAUGACCAGUAGGGGAUAAGAAGGAUGUGCGCCAUAUGUUGUCUUGAGAAGGCAUGGCUUCCUUUUCACCAAAGUUCAAGUCAAAACGCGGUUGGAUGGACCAGACAUUCUCAGAAAUGAUGAAAAAGAAAUGAGGUGCAAUAAAUCUCUAAAGUACAAAAAUAAGGGGAAAAUUCCUGCAAGCAAUAACUCUCUGAACUUGCUUCUUGCACACAAUUGGUGCCCCUAUAAAAGAAAGGGCAACAAGGCCGUUGGUUCAAAAAUCGAAGAGGCACCACUCUCCGGAUUUCGAGAAGCAGAUUUUACUGAGUAAAAUAUGUUGACAAUCCCCACAUGCAACAUCAGCUCUUCAGGUACCACAUAUAACUUUGCCAAAGAUCUCUGUCAAAGUUUAGACACAUAAAUUUUAAAGGUCCAGCUACCCUACCAUUACCCACAAGGGUAAAGGAACAGCAACACUACUUGAUAACUGGAAAGUUCCUAUGUGUGCCAACCUCCGUGCUCAGUGGCAAGGCAGACUGGCAAAAAUGCCCAACCUUUACUCACAUUAAGAAAACACUCCCAACAGGAUUACUUGUUCAAAAAUCGAAGAAGCACCGCUCCUCGAAUCUCAAGAGCCAAGCUCCCACUAGGAUGGCUUUCUCAAAAAUCGAAGAGGCAUCGCUAUUCGACUCUUGAGAACCAGACUCACAACAUGAUUGCUUUCUCAAAAAUCGAAGAGGCACCGCUCUCCAUAUCUUGAGAGCCUGACUCCCAACAUGAUUGCUUUCUCAAAAAUCGAGGAGGCACCGCUCUUUGAAUCUCGAAAGCCAGACUCCCAACAGGAUUGCUUUCUCAAAAAUUGAAGAGGCACCAUUCUCCGAAUCUCGAGAACCAGGUCCCCGACAGGAUUGCAUGUUUGAAAACGAAAGAAGCACCGCUCUCUGAACUUCGAGAGCCAAAUUUCCUUGGAUAAAGCUUAUCUGCAAUCUUCACACGCAACAUUAGCUUUCCAGAUACUACAGACUACUUUUUCAAAGUGCUCUGACAAAGUUAAAACACGUGAAUCUUGCAGCUCCCACUACAUUGCUAUGACUUACUACUCGCUGUUAGGAUAAUUCCUAUAUAUCUCGACCUCCAUCCUCUACAGCCAAGCAUACAUGCAAAUAAAAAAAACAUGCUCAACUUUUAUUCACAUCCGAGAGGGCGCUCCCAGCAGAGUCUCUCGAAAUACUCAACUUCUUUCCCCCCUCCCCCGAUAAUACUUAUGCAAACAAGCCACAAUAGAGCAAGAGUAUCUCAUAUCAUCAGGGUUAAAAGCAAGAGUAUCCUAUAUCAUGCUUUUUCUUUGUCUUUUCCUUUGCCCUUGAUCUUACCUGCAGGACAAGGAGAAAAAACGCAAUCAGUCGGAACCUGAAAUCAAACUUCCGAUAUGGAACUGAUUUCCCGAAAUCUUUGCAUGGUUGUUUUCCUAACAUUGCUCUUGAGUACUCAUCCUCAACUGUUGUCAAGGUCACGAAGUCCUUCUACAAAUACCUCAGAACAGUUGAUACGAUAUUGAUGCUUUACUCUGAAGCUGCCACACGUGGAUGAGUUGCUGAGAAGUAGUGCUAUGAAGGACCAUUUAAAUGCAAAGGUUGCAUUCCACACCUGCAUUGGGGACAAAUGCUGUAAGAGAUUGAAGCAGAAGGAUUAAUGAUGAGCUAGAACAGAUCACUACAGCACGAUGCCUUUCCUGUAGAACCACACAACCCAGACAAAUGAGUCUAAAUCAAAUCCAAACCCAGCAUCGCUGCCAUAUCCGAAGAACUCGAGAAGCUUCAACAACCUUUCGCUGACACCAUCGCCAAAGAGCAAAGCUUCGCCAUACCACACCCACUACUUUGUCGACAUCAAUAGUAUCCCAUAUUAUUAGGUUGAACGUACUCUAGAUUUGAUGGACUUGUUUUGACCCUUGAAUUCUUGAGUCGGCCUUAUACUCUUGAGGAAACCAGAAAACCUUCCAACCCAGUUCAAGAAUAAGCUUGUGGAAAGUUACUUCUUCAAAAGCAAAAGUAUCUCAUAUCAUCUCUUCUCCAUUUGCUUCUCAUUAUCCUUGUUGCUGUUUACGACAUAAGGAGAAUGAGAACAAUCAACCGGAAGCUGAAGUCGAACCUCCGAUCUAGGUUGCUUGCUUGGAAGUCUGAUUGCUUACCUUGUCUGUUACCUCCUUCGGUAAAUCUCCUAGCUCGGCGAUUUGGGGGACUCCUACUAUAGGGUUUGUAUCGCACUAAACCAAGCCCGAAACUACAAGUAAGCUUCAAGUGAAAUUGAUACAUUACCUUGUGCAUCUUCAUCGGUUAAAGAUACCACCCCUGGAUGGAGGAAAAGUACUUCUAGAGAAGAUGCCACAUCUACAUAUGAGACAGAUAAGGCAAGUGAAAAUGAUACCACACUUCGGUACUUAGAAGUUUCAUGAUUACUCAAUGGCUUGGAUCUUGUAAGUCCCCAACCAUGGAGUUUUCUUCACUCGGGAACUUAUGGGAGCACUGUUUGUACCAUACUUGACCAAUCCCGAAACUACAGAGCACCGGUCAACGUUAUAUCGUCAAGGACCCAGAAGAGUUUCCCUCAAAUCAGGAGGCCAAUCACAGCGCGACACGUAUCGACAUUAGAAGCCAAUCAUAGUGCGACCCGUGUCAACAUCAGAAGCCAAUAACAACACGACACGUGUCAAUGUCAGAAUGAAACUAGAAACUCUCUUCUAUAAAUAGAGAUCACUCUCUCACAGUAUUUCCUAAUGUUAUUUGUACUAAAUCAUUCACUAAUACUCACAAAAUGAGAGCUUGAACCUAUGUACUUGUGUAAACCUUUCACAAUUAGUGAGAACUCCUCUACUCCAUGGACGUAGCCAAUUUGGGUGAACCACGUACAUCUUGUGUUUGCUUCCCUGUCUCUAUCCAUUUACAUACUUAUCCAUACUAGUGACCGGAGUAAUAUAGUGAAGGUCACAAACUUAAUACUUUCUGUUGUACCAAAGUCCUCACUGAUUUUGUGCAUCAGCAAAAUAUAUAUGUGGAAACUAAAUAAGUAUAUAACAUUUAAAAGCAAAGACCCACUCACAAAUCAUGUUGUCGGAUCGAACCUACCUUGUGGGCAUCAAAGAUCAUUGCAAUGCGUUUCACCUAGAAACGAAACCAUUCACAUAAAUAUAUUACGUACUAACGUAAAUACGAGUUUUUGUACAAAGUAAGGUUAAUAAAGGAACUAUUUUAAAACAACCAAAUUUUGAAAAACGGAAGGUGGAUUCAGGUUCAGCACAUUGAGAAAUCUAAGGAUGGACCUUGGGUUCUUCUACGCACCGCCACAAGCGCCGCCACGCACUGCCACAAAGUGGCUGCACAGACAUCCACGUGCUGCACGCGCUGCUCACCACGCGCACCUCACACGCCCCUGAGUACAAUAGUACUCAUUUUUCUCAUGAGUUCCCAGAUUUUCAUGUUUUUCCUUCAACUUUCAAAGCUCAUUUCGAGAUUGAUACCCAACCAAAAUCGAUGAUUCAAAGAUUAAAUUGAAGUUAGAAAUGUAGGGAAUAAGUCUAUACUCAGUUGAGGUCGUUUCAUGGUCGAAGUUGGUCGAAAAAGGGGUUUGAAAGCGGCUCAAUGGCCACGGUUCUGAGUUUCCAAAAAUCUGGGGAAAUCUCCCCGCGAUGUUUUAUGUACCAAAUCUCAUCAAAACACUCAUAAGAACUCAAAUAUUUACUCAUAACAUCACAAGGAAUUAGUUUAAGAUCGUUGAAGCCUUACCUUUACCGUAAAAGCGAGUUUCUAGCCCAAAAACUCAGAUUUUAAACAGAGCUUCAUGUGAGCUGCUGUGCAUGAUUUCAGUAACCUAAAGCUUAGGUUACAUUUGUAGGGGUGAGAGGAAGAUGGUUUAGGUUAUGAGGCUCGCCAGAAUGGUUGUGGUCGUAAAUGGCUGUCAGUGAUGGUGGCUUGAUAACUUAUUGGGGUGGUAUGGUGAUGAUGGGCCAAUGUUGCUGCAUCUUCUGUGCAGCAAGCAUAUAGCAGAGAGAGAGAAAACGAGAUGAGAGGCUCACCUGGUUCGUUGUGGCUUGUCAGGGAGAGUGGCGGGUGGUGAUGGCGUUAGUGGUUUCUCUGCACUUCCAGAGAGAGAAAGAGACGAGAAGGAGUUGAGAUGGAGAGUGAAAUGAGAGGGUUAGGUGAGAGAAAAAUGAGGGUGACUGAAUAAGAGGGAAACAUGGAGGGAGGCAGAUUCUUUGCCCUCCCACUUCUCGUGCCCUCCCGUGCCCUCUUGUUUUGUGUGGUCACGGUUAAGCCACGUCAACAUUUUAUAUAUUUUUUUUAUAGAGAUAAUAAGACAAAAAAGAAUAGUAAUACAAAAUGUUGACGUGGCUUAACCGUGACUACACAAACAAGAGGGCACGGGAAGUGGGAGGGCAGAGAAUCUGCCUCCAACAUGAAGAGGACACGGGAGAGAGGGAAAUAGUGGGAUAUGGGCCCCACUGACUCACAAAAUAAGGCCACGAAUAGGAAGAUAGAAAAUAUCUCUCGCGUAACGUGAAUAUACCAAAUUACCCUUCAUGUUCCUAGUUUCGUAAAAUUUUCAUUAUAACUCCGAAUUUGAUUCCGUUUAUGCUUACGCAUUCGUACCGUCAAGUACUUCGACAAUACGGUAAAAUAAUAACUCAUACGCGUCAUGAAAUGACGGUCAACGAAAGUCAACAAUCUCACCUCUAGGGGCAUUCUCGUCAAUUCACACAUUUAAAAUUAAUACAACAGUAAAAUUGGGGGUGAGUUUUUACAUAUUAAGUCCUUUGCCUUUGUCCAAGUUUAUCAAACUUGUACCUACGAAUCUAUAUCUUAGCUUAAAUAAGCAUUUCCUAACAUUUCAUUAAUUCAACAUCCAAAAGUACUAUUUAGACAUUUAUGAGGGUGUAUUCAAUUGGGAAUUUGAGAGAUUUUAAUGGAUUUAUAAAUCCAUGGAUUUUUAUGGAGUUUAAAUGAUUUGUAGAGAUUCCAUGUAAAAUUUUGAUUCAAUUCCCUCAAAAUCUCAUGAGGAGAGGUGAGAUUUGUGAAGGAUUUAAUACACUACAAAAUCUCUCAAAUUCCUCAAUUUUUUCAAAUUCUUUAAAUUCUAAUUCUAAUUGAAUACACCUGGAAUGUUAUAAACUUCUUUAAAAUUCUAAUUAAAUACACCCAGAUUUCUAAGGAUUUUAAUAAACUAUCUUAAAAUCUUGAUUGAAUACACAUUGAAUUUCAGAGAAAUACUUGAAAUCCUGAUUGAAUACCCUUAGAUUUAUUAAAAGAAUUAAAAUCCCUCAAAAUCCGAAUUGAAUACACCCCCUUAAUUUGCACAAUGGAGGGCACCACAUGAGUCAGGGUGUCGAAAAACCUAAGGAUAGGUCUUGGGUUCUGCACGAGCGACCGUUCGUUAAUCACGCGCCGUCGUCCAUUGGUCACGCUCCCUCGUCCGUUUUUCAUGUGUUGUCACGCGUCGAUUGGGCUUUGGUAGCAUGCAGUUGUUGCCGACAAAUGCACUAUUGUACUCGCCACCGUGUUUCGGCGAGUAAAUGUCGUAGUCACCGGAGCCACGAGCCAGCCGUUGGAGAGUUCAUUGGAAAGUGAAGGAAUGUACCUCUUCCGUUCCGUUAAAGUUAACGGAUCCAUCGCUGUCGUUGUUAGAGUUAACGACGACUGCCGCCAAAAAUAGCAGAAAACCCAAAAAUUAAUUAACACUUUGAUUUCAUUCGAAAUUAAUAGAUUUUCAUCUCAAAUUCAUCCUAAAAUGAACAAAACGCUCACCUAAGUCCAAUCCAAGGAGAUUUGGACUGAGUUUGGCCUCAGACUCAACAGAACUUGGCCGAAGUCCGUCGCCAAAUUCUUGAAAUCAACACAGAGGCAUGCAAAGGUUAAACAAUCAUGAAUUUGAUCCAAAACUUCACAGAGAUGACGAAUGAACUUACCCAAACGUAACUCAGGUGGUUUAGGGAUGGAAAUCGCUUAGAACUCACUAGAUUCGACUAGUUUCCCUCAUAAAAAACUCGGCACGUAGGAGUCAAACAGAGUUUGAAAUUCUCAAAUUCCAUAUCAAAAUUCAUGCAGAAACUUCACAAACAUGAAUUAAAGCUUACAUCAGUUCCAACCAACGAAGAUUUAUAUCAAAAAUCAACUUGUAGUUGGACGAGGAACUCGGAGCUCAUGGGUUCGAAGGUUUGGCACCUUCCAGCGCUCAAGUCAUACAUGCAAGGCCACCAUCGGGUUCGUCACGUCAUGCUGAUUCCAAGUAUGGUGGUUAUGAGGUUCGAUUUGGCCGAAGUUGAUGAAGAUGAUGGUGGUUGGCUUCAGUGUUAGAGGAAGAGAGUGAGAAAAUUCGAGAGCUACAGAAAGAGGGAGAGUUGCAUAAAUGAGGGAGAAAGAGAGAGACGAAGUUGGUUAAUCCCACUUAAAAAGUUCCCUUAGUAGAAAUUACCAUUACCAUUUUGCCCUCCAUUUAACUAAAUUCGUAACUCGACUCUUGUAACUUCGAAUUCGAUCCCAUCUUCGUCCAACCAUUUUGCCCUCCAUUUAACUAAAUUCGUAACUCGACUCUUGUAACUUUGAAUUCGAUCCCAUCUUCGUUCACACACUCAUGAGUACGAAAACUAAUUUAAUAAAAUAAGAAAAAUAAGAAAAAUUGAAAUUUAACUCAAGGCUCUUUCAUUAUUCAAAACACCUAACUAGGGGCAUUUUGAUUAUUUCACAUCCUUUAGAAAUAAAAUACGCACAUUAUUUUAAGGUAUGGGUUGUAAGAUGGAAGGGAGCUAUGAAAAUAGGCUGCCCACAAAGUAGUGGGGGGAGAAAAGACGGUAAGCAUCACAUGUGAGGGAAAGAAUUAAAAAAGUGUAAAAAGAAAAGGAGCAAUAGAGGGGACAUGACGCGGAGGGGCUAGGAGAAAAGUACUAGUAAAUUUUGGUCAUUAAUGACACUGAGCCAAUUAACGACGAUUGCUCAUGAAACUGUCAUUUCGGUUUUUCUUACGACGGAUUAGGCUUAAAACUGUCGUUCAAUGAGGUGCAAAAGAGGUGGGAUAUAGAUUACGUGCUUAUAGUUUUGGUUUUCCAGGCGACAGUUUUAUGUGCAUUGUCGUAUGCUGAUAUGUGGCAAAGGCCAAAAGUUGAAAAACACGGAGGGACUCCAUGUACUGUUCACAAUCAAAAUGAGCUUUCCUUUCCAAUUUGUUUUAUGAUUAAAGUCUUUCUCUUCUUUUAUUUUAUUAGACGCAACCAAAAGUCUCCAAUCUAGCAAAUUUCAAACCAGACCCUGAAAACCAAAUCUCACCCUCUUGAUUCUAUUCCUGAAGAUCCCCAAACUAUGAAUGCUACUUUUUCCCAAAAUCUCUCCCUUGGGCCUUUUGCUUUACGAUAUCCCUCCCAUAGAAAACCCUAGCACCCUCAAAUCCUUCUUUUGUCCUUGCGAUUCUGGGGUUUAUACCGACUACCAACAACAACAACAACAACAACAACAAAGCCUUUUCCCACUAAGUGGGGUCGGCUAUAUGAAUCCUAGAACGCCAUUGCGCUCGGUUUUGUGUCAUGUCCUCCGUUAGAUCCAAGUACUCAAGUCUUUUCUUAGGGUCUCUUCCAAAGUUUUCCUAGGUCUUCCUCUACCCCUUCGGCCCUGAACCUCUGUCCCGUAGUCACAUUUUCAAACCAGAGCGUCAGUAGGCCUUCUUUGCACAUAUCCAAACCACCGGAACCGAUUUUCUCUCAUAUUUCCUUCAAUUUUGGCUACUCCUACUUUACCUCGGAUAACCUCAUUCCCAAUCUUAUCCUUUCUCGUGUGCCCAUACAUCCCACGAAGCAUCCUCAACUCCGCUACACCCAUUUUGUGUACGUUGAUGCUUCACUGCCCAACAUUCUGUGCCAUACAACAUCGCUGGUCUUAUUGCCGUCCUAUAAAAUUUUUCCUUGAACUUCAGUGGCCUACGACGGUCACACAACACGCCGGAUGCACUCUUACACUUCAUCCAUCCAGCUUGUAUUCUAUGGUUGAGAUCUCCAUCUAAUUCUCCGUUCUCUUGCAAGAUAGAUCCUAGGUAGCGAAAACGGUCACUUUUUGUGAUCUUCGCUAGAUUGCUCCGGUCAUUAGUGUGGAUAAGUAUAUAAAUGGAUAGAGAUAGGAAAGCAAACACAAGAUGUACGUGGUUCACCCAGAUUGGCUACGUCCACGGAAUAGAGGAGUUCUCAUUAAUUGUGAAGGGUUUACACAAAAGCAAACACAAGAUGUACGUGGUUCACCCAGAUUGGCUACGUCCACGGAAUAGAGGAGUUCUCAUUAAUUGUGAAGGGUUUACACAAGUACAUAGGUUCAAGCUCUCCUUUAGUGAGUACAAGUGAAUGAUUUAGUACAAAUGACAUUAGGAAAUAUUGUGGGAGAAUGAUCUCGUAGCCACGAAACUUCUAAGUACCGGAGUGUGGUAUCGUCUUGACUUGCCUUAUCUGUCUCAUAGGUAGAUGUGGCAUCUUCUCUGGAAGUACUCUUCCUCCAUCCAGGGGUGGUAUCUGUAACUGGUGGAGAUGCACAAGGUAAUGUAUCAAUUUCACUUGAAGCUUACUUGUAGUUUCAUGCUUGGUCAAGCGCGAUACAAACCAUGUAGUAGGAGUCCCCCAAGUCGCCGAGCUAGGGGUUCCUAUAUUCCACGUUCCUAAACGCAUUUUGCUCUCUUGAACUCUACCCUUCUGUCCUAGCUUCUUCACCCUUCCCCGUCUAAUAGGAUCAAAGUACUUCUUUUGUGUGUCCCGUGUAAAGUUGAUAGGAGCAUAUGCUCCCAAACAACUUUGAGUGGAGUCGUUCGAAAAGAAGUUUCUAUAGCCCCCUUGCUCAUUUAACACUGCAUCCGGGUGCCGAUGGAGAUACAACGACCCUUGCUCACUUAUCACUGUGCUCAGGCCACACAGCGCGCCACUUACGGGUGACGCCCUAGCUUUAGCACGAUUUCGUUCUGGAUUCAUUUUCAUAAGGAUUCGACGUGAUCAUGGAGUGCCGGCUGUCGACUACCUGACGCCCUCCCCCUCCUCCUUUAUCCGGGCUUGGGACCAGCAAUGUAAGAUAAACUUACACGGCGGAGUUUUAUACCGACUACCAGGAGACAAAAUUUCUCUCAACCUCUCUCAUUUUGAGAAAUAUGCCAUGCUUUAGUCUGAGUGCAUGUAAGCAUUAUUUUUUUCACCACCAAGUAGGAUUCUACAAUCUACUAAAAACAUAAAGAAUUUAUGAGCAUGCCAAUAGAAAACCUUCUUGGUAAACAUUAAAGAAUUGGUUUUCUACAUGCAUCUCGAUUAUAUGACAGCACUUCUAAUAGUCUGAAAUUCUGAAUACAAUACAUAUGUUCGGGGCUCCAAUGGAAUUGACCAAAAGUUUUGGUGUUUGUGUUUUAGGAUUCUACCUUGAAUUAUGUAUUAUUUGUUGAAACUCAUAAAUGUGAACCGCUUUGGAAAAAUACAUCUUAUCUUUUGUUUGAUUAAAAAGAAUCACAUAUUGUUGAGGUCCUUUACAUAAUAGAUGAAGUAUUUUGAUUGGUCCUAAACAAAGUUCAUCAACAUCAUGUGUUUAUUAGGGUUUGCACGAGGUUGAUUUCUUGUCCCAAUAUCAUGACAUUCAUUACCUUCCAAGUAUAGCAAAUGAAAUAAUUAGAGGCAUGCAGCACCCAACUAUUGUGAAACUUAUAAUACAUGUUCGUGCGUAAAACAAAUGUUCGUUUUAUUGAUGUAGUUGGGUAAUACUUGCGAAUUGACAUCGGAUUCUCUUAUACAAUUGUUUGUGGUACUUAUAGUGUCCAAUAAAAUAAGUUUUUCGUCUUCUCCACAUGUAAGAGACUUUGGAAAUUCAUUUUUUUUUAAGUUGAAUGGAUGAUAGUUUUGUCACUUGAAUUGUCGUCUAGUAUCAGCUCAAUGACAAUAAGCUUUGAGAAUUAUUGAUAGAACAACACCCAAACGACAUUUUUCAUGUUAAAACUAUGGUCUAUUAACUAUAACAACUAUAGUCCUUAUAAUACAUUGUUGUCUAAGAUGACAAAAUACUAUGUUUCUUAGAUUUUUACUAGUGAAAAGGCAGUUUUGAAAGUGAAACUGAUGGAAGUGUUGCGAAUACAAGGCUAGGUUAGUAGCUCAGGGCUUUACACAUAAACAAGAGGUUAAUUAUGUUGGAAAAUAUUGGCGAUACGGGAUGCUACUUCUCUUACAAUGAAACACAUAAACGUAAUAUUAGUAUAUCACAAUUUUACCACCACAAUUUAAUAAAUAAAAUAAACCAAAUAAGAUAAAAUACUUAUAACUGCUCUUCUUUGAUACUUUGAUUAGAACAAGAUUUUAGGUUGAGGCGUGUAAUCACUGUUCUGAAGAGUAGAUUUCACCCCUCUAAGACAAUGUCUUGGUGUAGCAGGUUAUGACGCCCUACCCUCCAGGAUACAACAACUCAUGAUCCUUGUAAGCGUACACUCGCAAUACUUGGAUUUGGUAAACAACUCGAUUUUCCUUUUGUAUAUAAUACAUGAAGGAUUUUACUUUGAAGAAUGAAGAAUCAAUAAUGGAUAGAAGGGGAACUUAAGAAUUCUAGAAAAAACAAAGCAUGAGAAUAUUUAUUAGAAAACAAGAGUGUAAAACCGUUAGACUGUAAUUGCCCAAUUAAUGGGUUAAUCAAUAUGGCAUCUCACAAUGUAAACUCCUUCAUUUAACUCUCAAUUAUAAUAUGAAUGAAAUGAGUUGGCUAAUAACUAUAAACCAAAGCAAAUUACAGAGAAAUAGUGCAAGAAUAAGGAAGAAGAUGAACAUAGCUUUUAGAGAGAAGAAGAAGAUUGUAUUCAAUGAGAGUUUUUCAUUACAUUCAUUUGUACACUGUAGCUUUCUUUUAUAUCAGUUCUUACACCUAAUCUAUCUUACUUUGUGUAAUUCUAACUGCCUAACUCCUUAUUACAACAUUCUAACAACUUGUACUAACAACCUCAUUAAUCAUUAGACAAAUGGCAGUCAAUCUAACCAUUGGAUUAUAUCCUUAACAUCCUCCCUUAAGCUUAAGAGAAGAGAAUCCAAACCUGAGAUUGUUGCAGUAAGUCUGAAAUAAUGGAGCUAAGAGACCUUUUGUUAGUAUAUCAGCAUACUGAUCACUCGAAGACACAAAAUAGACGUGCAACAACUUUUUAACUACUUUCUCCUUUACAAAAUGGAUGUCUACUUCAAUAUGCUUUGUCCAUUGAUGUAAAACUGGAUUGCAUGACAGGGCUAUUGCAGACAUAUUGUCACAAAAUAACACAGGCUAAUAUGAAAUGGGAACAUGCAAAAAUGUCAGUAGCUGCUUGAUCUAAUCGAGUUUUGUUGCAGUAGUUGAAAAUGCCCGAUACUCAGUUUAUGUUGAAGACCUUGAAACAGCUUGUUGUUUCUUGGAAGACCACAAUAUUGGAUUGAAACCCAGAAACACUACAAAUCCUGUUGUUGGCCUUCUAUCAUUUGGGUCACCAGCCCAAUCACCAUCUGAGAAAGCCUUCACAUUCAAAUCUCCAUUUCCUUUGUGUAUUCCCAAAUUACUUGUACCUUUUAAGUACUUGAGGAUAUUUUUUACUACAGUGAAAUGGGAUUUCAUAGGGUUAUGCAUGAAUUGACAUACUUGGUGUACUGCAAAACUUAUGUCAGGUCUAGUGAAGAACCACACUUCUAUACAAAACUAGGUUAUUACAAGGUACACCAUCAUCUAAUAACAACCUGUUACAAGGAAGACAUGGAGUUGCACAAACUUUGGAAUCAGGCAUCUCAAUCUUGGUAAGUGAGUCUUUGACAUAUUUUGCUUGAGACAAAAAUAACCCAUCACGCUGUGAAAUUAUUUGAAUGCCUAAAAAAUAGUGAAGCUAUCCCAAAUAUUUGAUUUCAAACUCCUUUGUCAAUGCUGAGAUAACUUCAUUGAUUGCAGAUGAUGCACUACCUGUGAUGAUUAUAUCAUCCACAUAGAGAAGUAAAAUAACCACAGAGGAUCCCACUGGUUUUACAAAUAUUGAUGAAUCUGCAUAAGUUGUGUGAAAUCCCAGAGAAGGUAAAAAAACUUGUAAACUUUUCAUUUCAAGCCAUUGGGGCUUGUUUUAAGCCAUAGAGAGACUUAUGUAAUAUACAUACAUACUCAGGAUGAUGACAAUCAAUGAAACCUAAUGGUUAAGACAUAAUAAACUUCUUCUUGUAACACUACAUGAAGGAAUGUAUUCUUAACAUCCAAUUGCCUUAAAUUUAAUCCAGAGUAGCCAGCCAAAACUAACCUCACUGUAGUUGGUUUGACAAUUGGGUUGAAAGUUUCUCCAUAGUUUAUCCAUUCUUCUUGGCUGAAUCCCUUGGCAAUAAGCCUUACCUUAUAUAUCCUAGCACUGCCAUAAGCAUUCAUUUUGAUUUUGAAUACCCAUUUACAUCUCACAAGGUUUUUAUGGGAUGGUAAUGAUACUAGACUCCAUGUACAUUGAGAAUAUAAUGUAGAGAGUUCAUCUUUUAUAGCAUCAACCCAAAUUGGACUCUUCAAACUAGGCUUGUAUGUGGAUGGCUUAACAUGGUUCAAAUCUACCCCUCAAUUCUCAUGAAUAGUUGAUAACAGAGUCAUCUUCUUUGAUGUUCCACUCCUAGAUCUAGUUUGUAUUGGAUGCAAAUUCAAUACAAGUAUAGGUGUAGACAUCGAAAUUUCGGUGAAAUAAAUGUUGACCAAUAGUUACAAUUUCAACGCUCAUGUAUUACAUAAAUUUUACACGUAGCGUGUGGCUCGAUGAAAAAUUGAAAUGAGUCAGAAAAGUCAUCAAACAGGACACGUGUCAACACCUGGCAGAAACGACUUAUUUCAUCUAGAAUAUUAUAUUCAAAAUUAGGCCUUGAAAAAUUCUAUAAAUAGAAGCCAAUUUCAUUCAUUUUAAGGGGGACCAAUUUUCAUAUUACACCUUUAAGCUCUGAAGCUCUGAAACUCCGAAGCUCUGAAACUUCGAAGCUCUCAAGCAUCCAGGUUCCCAAAGAAUCAAGAAAGCCUUCUUCGUUCUUCGUUCAUCAUUCUUCAAGAUCAAGCCCCGACGGCCCUUGAAGAAAGCAUUCUUCGUUCAUCAUUCUUCCAAGAUCAAGCCCUGACGGCCCUUGGAUUAACAAUCAUCCACCUUCAAGAUCAAGCCCCGACGGCCCUUGAAGAAAGCGUGCUUCUUUCAUCGUUCUUCAAGAUCAAGCCCCGACGGCCCUUGAAGAAAGCGUUCUUCGUUCAUCGUUUUUCCAAGAUCAAGCCCCGACGGCCCUUGAAGAAAGCAUUCUUCGUUCAUCGUUCUUCCAAGAUCAAGCCCCGACGGCCCUUGGAUCAACAAUCAUCCAUCUUCAAGAUCAAGCCCAAAAGCCCCUUGAAGAUCCGUUCAUUACUGUUCUUCAAGAUCAAGCCCAAAAGCCCUUGAAGAUCCGUUCAUCAUCGUUAUUCAAGAUCAAGCCUCAACAGCCCUUAAAGAAACGCUCAUCCUCAAGAUCAAGCCCCAACGGCUCCUUGAAGAUCCGCUCAAAUCCACCUUCAAGAUCAAGCGCACAGCCCUUGAAGAACGUUCAUCCUUAGAUCAAGCCCAACGGCCAUUUGGAUCAAUCGAUCAAGCCCAACGGCCCUUUGGAUCAAUCGCACAUCCACAAAUACACACCUUACAGAGAUCGAAUCAGAGGAUCAAAUUUGAGAGAGAUUGUAACCCUAAAUCAUCAAAAUAGAAAUAUUAUUUUGUGCACGUUGUUCUUGUCUCUUUCGUUUCAGGAAAAUUUCGUGUUUACAAUAGGAAGAACAACCUAAAGACUCUCAAGUUGAAAUUCAAGAACCACAUGAACUGUUGUUGAGGAUGAAUGUUUUUGUGCAGUAAUGCAUUGUAUUAUAGGUUGAGGAUUUGGUAAAUCUGGUAAGGAUUGUGAAGAUUGAGAAGAAUGAAAUGAUAUUGCAAAGUCACUAGGUCAUGCGGAAGAAUGAGUAUACCAGAACAUUGUUGUGAUCAGGCAUUAUUAGUGUGGGAGAACCUAUAAGGACUGUGUUUAUGACAGUGGUAUUUGAAGUUAGGGAUACUAGAAUAAGAUAUGGAAAUUCAGUCUCAUCAAAUAUAACAUGCCUGGAAAUCAUAACUUUAUUUUUACCAACCUUAAAACAGAUGUAACCCAUGUACCUAGAUGCAUAUCGAAGAAAUACAUACUUGGUUGUCCUAGGUGACUAAUACCAGGUAUGGAACCAUAAAGUGCUUCAAAAUGGUGAUUUCUAGUUUAAUGUUUAGGAUGGCAUCCUAUUGAUAAGAUACACUGAUAUUUGGCAAGCAAAAGACCAAAAUAUAGAAGGUAAAUGGAAUGUUUGCAGAAAUGUAAUGGCUGUCUCAAUGAUAUGACGAUGUUUUCUUUCAGCGAAACCAUUUUGUUCUGGUGUAUGUGGACAAGACAACUGAUGACUUAUGCCUUUGUCAACAAGAAAUGAUUGAAACUUGAUACCUAUACAUUCACCCCCCAUCACUGUGCAAUAUUUUGACUGUAGUGGAAACUGAGUAAGAAUGAAUUGAUUAAAGACAACAAAUGUGGAGUAAACAUUUGAUUUAUUAAGAAUUGGAAAAAUCCAGCAAUAUCUUGUACACUCAUCUAUGAAGAUGACAUAGUAUUUAAAGCCUUUUAUAGAAACACAAGGAGAUGGGCUCCAUACAUCACUAUUUAUAACCUCAAAAGGAAUAACAGAUUUGGACAUAGCAGUUUGAAAUGGUUGUUUUGUAAAUUUGCCUUCUAAGCAUGUUGAACAGAUUAUUGGUUGAGUAUCAACAACAACAGAUAUAUUGGACUUCCUAAGUAUAAGAGAAGCAAUACUAUUUGAAGGGUGGCCUAAUCUGCUAUGCCAUAGUCUAGAGGUUACUUGAUGACCAAGAAAUGUUUCAGCCUUAUAUGCACUUUGUGGAUAGGGAUGACAAUUUAAACCGUUAAACCCAAUAACUGUGGAUAACCACCUGAAUGGAACGAAUUUGGGGAUAAAAAUUUGGUUAUAUUUUGGAUAUGGGGAAAAACCGAAAAUAUUAUUCGGUUAUGGUUUCAAAUGUGAUUAUAGGGGGUCUCCGAUUCGUAUUCAUCCCCAAAUUCGAACCGAAAAAUACAUAUUAUAUAAUUUAUAUAUAAUAAAUAUCGUAUUGUAUAAUAUAUUAUAUUCACCAAACCCAUUACUUUGAGAAUUACAAAAGUUACAUUUUGUAGGACACUAUAAAAGUUUUGAAUCAAACCAAUGAGAAUUGAAUAGUGCUUAUAGGAGAGAUCAAAGAGUAGCCAACAUCAUCAAUAUAUCUAUAUAUUAUAAUGACAAAAUUUGUAUCUACUAUAUUAUAAUGUGUCAAUUGAACGAAUAUAUUUUUGGUAUUGACGAACAUGGAUAAAACCGUUAACCGAUGGGGAAUUCAUUACCUGGCGGGUAUGAUUAUAGAUAAUCCCCAAUGGUUAAUUUGCGGUUAUGAAUAUGGUUACCUUGUAUGGUUAUGCGGAUGGAUAUAGCAUUUCUGUCCCUAAACUGAACCGUUGCCAUCCCUAUCUAUGGAUGAGAUGAUGAUGUAAGUAUUGGGAUAGGAUACAAUCCAUUAUUGCAAAGGCCUUUGAAGAGUAUUCCCUCUUUGGUUUUGUCCUGAAUCCAAAAACCAAAAGCAUUGAAAAUCAGCCAACAAUUGUUAUCAAGGCAUAUUUUGUGCACUGACAAGAAAUUCUGUGACAGUUUAGGCACAUAUAAAACUGAAUUUAACUUCAAUUUAUAAGAUGAAGUCUGUAAUAUUGAUGAUCCCACAUGAGAAACUUACAAACCUUCACCACUUGCAGUUAGAAUCAUUUCAUUAGAUAGAAAUGGUGUAGUCAAAGACAGAUCGUUGCACUAGAGCCAAUCAACCAUACUUGCUGUUAAUUUGAGUUGGAUAACAUUUGUGGGGCUGAAGUAUUAACAUGCAUAGUAGUCAAAGAUCUUAAAUUUGAGUUCAUAUUUGCAUUCUUAAAGUGGAAAUACUAAGCACCGUGGUUCUUUUUACCACAAAUUGACAACCCUUAAUCAUUUGUGAAUAAAUGUUCCUGAAUCUACAGGUAUCAAUAGGAUGACCAAAUUUUCCACAAAUUUGGCAUGGUGGUAAUGAAGAUCCAGAGUACACCUAUUGAUUUUGUAGAGAAAAACCAAGAAUCCCACGUGUAAGGCUAGAUUAAGAAGGUUUAUUGUUUCCAAACCUUGAAUUUGAGCCAUACUGAAAUUUACCCUUACCUUUAUUGGACUGAUAAUUGUUGAAACCACUAUUUUGAUUACCAUAUGAGCUAGGGGUGGGUUGAAAAAACCAAAAACAAAAAAAAAACCGGACUGAAAACCGAACCGAGACCAAAAAAAUCGAAUAAAAAAAAAAUCAAACCGAAUUUGUUGAACCAAACCGAACCGAAUCUAGUUGGUUCGGUUUCGGUUUCUGGGGUUCAAAAACCGAACCGAACUUCUUCAAAACGACGUCGUUUUACUCCUAAACUGCAACCCUUCCCCAAGUUCUAACCCUAACCCUCUUCUCUCGGUCUCUCGACUCUCUCAUGUUUUCCCACUCCCCCCAGUUCGCACUUCGCGCGCAGAAUAGCGGCCUUUUCUGUCUCUUUCCUAAAAACCUCUCUCUGCCUCUCAUUCCCCCUCGCAGUCGCAGCAGCCUCAUUUGUGCCUCUCGCAGCAGCAACCUUUCUAUCUCUCAUUCCCCCUCCCAGCAGCCUCAUUUGUCUCUCUCGCAAGUCACAGCAGCAGCCUCUCUCUCUGUCUCUCAUUCUCAGCUGCGAAUUCUCAUUCUCAAUCACAGCAGGUUAGUCUAAUAGUCUCACUCACACUCUCACGUUUAAUUUUCUGUUCUACUUAUACAGUUUUAGAGAUUUGAUUUGUAUUUUAGUGAAAAUAUUGAUUGAGUUGUAAUAAGAGAUUGGGUAUUUUUAUGCUUCAGAAAGUAAUUGAAUUGAAUUUGAGCUCAUGACCUCUAAACUUAGGUGGGCUAGGGUUAGAGAUUCAUCUUGCUCCCACGAUUGACUUUGAAUCUGGAUGAACAUAAGGAAAUUAAUUUAACUGUUUAACAAAUAAUUUAUGCCGACUUGUUUUCUUUGGGUUAGAUAAGAAGCAACAACUAAUUUGUUUCCAAUAGACCACCUAUCUGAUGUGUUUGAAUGUUUGCUCUCUGUGGUUGUUUGAAUGUUUGAUCUCUGUGGUUGCUUCUUAGAACCCUUGCAGGCUUUAAUUGUUUAGCACUUCAGCAGUUCAGCAUAUUUAUUUAUAAUGUUAUAGCAGCAGCAUGUUUUGAGCUUAAAUUUUUAAAUAUCAACUUGAAAAUGUUGUUGGUUGACUGACUGUUGAGGCAAAGAUUACUAUUACUUGAUCAUCAUCGUGACCACCAAUCAGGGGGUAGUAGAUUAUAUAUAUAUAUAUAUAUAUAUAUAUAUAUAUAUAUAUAUAUAUAUAUAUAUAAUGGCUGCAAGUUGUGGAGUUGUUGUACAAUCAGCCCUUUCUACUAUAAAAUCAUAUAUAUAUAAUGGCUAUAAAUUGUGGAGUUGUUGUACAAUCAGCCCUUUCUACUAUAAAAUCACUAUAAGUUUUGGUUGCAGGUUAUAUAUAUAUAUAUAUGUGAAGGGAGUUUGAUUCUUGCCUUUGUUGUUGUGGAGUAGUUGUAACUUGUAGGAUUAGGUUAUUAUAAAUAGGUGCGGUUAUAUAUAUUUAUUGGCCUUCCAUAUUUUGUCUUGAUUUUGUAUCAUUGGUCUUCCAUAUUCUCUGUGGUUGUUGUGGAGUAGUUGUUGUGGAGUUUGAUUCUAGCCGCAGGUUAUAUAUAUAUAUAUAUAUAUAUAUAUAUAUAUAUAUAUAUAUAUAUAUAUAUAUAUAUAUUUAUUGGCCUUCCAUAUUUUGUCUUGAUUUUGUAUCAUUGACCUUCCAUAUUUUAAUUAACAUUUACUUUUGUAUAAGUUUGUAGUACUAACUACUAUCUUCUUAUUAUUUUGUGUGAAUUAGAUAAAGUCAAAGGCGUCAAAGGUCUCAAGGGCCUCAAGCUCAAGUUCAAACUCAAUGAGAUCAAAAUCAACUAGCCCUCAUGAUCAAACAAACUCAUCUUCGAGUAUACCAUCGGAUGUAAGUAGUCAUACUCAUAUUUUUUUAGUUUCUAUUACUUUAUCCCUUAUGUUUAAUAAUUAAUUCAUUAAUUGUAAUGAUAAGAGUAACCAUCCCAUCUUAUUUGAAUAAUUAAUUGUAUGAUUCUCUUAUUUUAGAUGGACAUUGUUGGUGAAUCAACUCCACCUCAAAACACCGUGGUGGCACCUCGACAAACCCUUACUUCUCUUAGUGGAUCCAGAAAUCCCUCUGAUGCAACUCCAAAAGAAGGUGACGCAAGUGACCAAGUAAGUAAAGAAGAAGCUCUUUUAGAAUCAUUAAAAAGUCAUGAAAGGUCUUCAGUUUGGGAGCACUUUGAUAGAAAAAUUGAGGGUGAUAGAGUUAAGAGGUUGUGCAAGUAUUGCGCCUAAUCAUAUAUGGCCGACCCGGAUAAAAAUGGUACAACUAAUUUAAGAAACCAUCUAGCAAGAUGUAGAAGCUACGGUCCUAAUAAGGAAAUAUUUGCCGCAAAUAGGCAAAAGAUCUUAACUUUUGCCGGCACGAAAGAUAAGUUGGAAGCUAUAGGUUUUUCUCAAGAGGAAGUAACUAAGGCUUGUGUUGAGAUGAUCAUUAUAGAUGAGUUGCCUUUUACUUUUAUUGAGGGAGAAGGUUUUUGCCGUUUUUGCAUGCAAGCAUGUCCUAUGUGGAGAGUGUCUAGUCGUAAGACAAUUGCUAAGGAUGUACUUAGCUUGUUUUAUUCCGAAAAGGAUAAAUUGAAGAGUCAAUUGAAGACAUUUAGGGUGUGUCUAACAAUGGAUCGUGGACUUCUAUUCAACAAAUCAAUUACAUGGUUCUCACCGCCCAUUUUAUUGAUGAUGAUUGGAUGUCACAUAAAAAGAUUUUGAAUUUUUGUGUCAUUUCAAAUCAUAAAGGAAAGUCCAUUGCUCAACUUUUGGAGGAAUGUUUAGUGGAGUUGGGUAUAAAUAAGGUGUUAACCAUUACGGUUGACAUUGCUUCCGCAAAUGAUUCCGGUUUAAGGGACUUGGUGCACUGAAUAAGGGGGUGGGGGAUUCCUAAUGCACUCUUGCAUGAUGGAAAAUAUUUGCAUAUGAGGUGUGUUGCUCAUAUCCUCAAUUUGGUUGUGAAUGAUGUGGUAAAAUUGUUGAAUACAGCUAUACAAAGCAUUCGUAAUGCGGUUAGGUAUGUAAGAUAUUCCCCCCAAAGGUUGGAAAGCUUUAAAAGGUGUGUUGAGAAAGUGAGAAUAGAGAGCAAAGGGCUUGUGAUUUUGGAUGUCCCUACUAGGUGGAAUUCCAUAUUUUUAAUAUUGGAAUCGGCUUUAAAAUUCAAGAUGGUUUUUGAUAGAUUAAAAGUAGAUGAUGGUUAUUACCUUCCGUACUUUGUUAAAGACAAUCAUGAUAAUAUGAGGGAGGGGCCACCUUCGAUUGAUGAUUGGAGUGAGGCGGGGAUAUUUGCAAUCUUUUUUAGACCUUUUUAUGAAGUCACUUUAAAAGUAUGUUGCUCUAAUACUUCAACCGUUCAUCCUACUUUUGGUGAUUUGUUUAAGAUCAAAAGUCUCUUUCAUGAAAAUAAAGAUGAUGAACUUUUGUCUAUGAUCUCUAAGUUGAUGCAAGAAAAAUAUGACAAGUAUUGGGGUUCCCUUGAGGACAUGAAUUGAUAUCUUUUUAUUGCACUUGUGCUUGAUCCUCACCACAAAUUAGAGAAAGUUGUUGAUUAUUUUAAGAUACAAUUUGGUGAGGAUGAAGAAAAAGUUGAAAGUGUCACAAAUGGGGUGAAAGACUUGUUGAUUGAUCUUUACAAGAUUCAUGAAGAUAUGUCUUUGAGUACACAACAAAGUAUAAGUGGUGGUGGAAGUUCUCAAACGACAAGUGGAGACUCUUCAUCAAACAUAACCGAAAUAGAAAGAAAGUUGAACGAAAAAAGUGAAAUGAGAAAAGCAAAGAGAGCCCGAGUUGUGUAUAAUGAUGUCGACAAGUAUCUUUCCGAUCCUAAUGAAGGAGAAGAAGAGGAGAACUUUGAUAUAUUGAAUUGGUGGAGGGUGAAUGGGAUUUCUAAGUUACCCUAUUUUGGCAUAUGUUGCAAGAGAGAUCUUAGCUAUUCCUGUAUCAACCAUUGCUUCGGAAUCCUCCUUUAGUACAAGUGGACGGAUAAUUGAUCCAUAUCGUAGUUCUUUAAGUCCAAAAAUGGUGGAGGCUUUGAUAUGUACUCAAAAUUGGCUUAGGUCCAUUCAUGUUGCAUUACAUCAUGAGCCAACCAUUGAGGAGAUGGAGUUUUGUGAAUAAGUGUAGAAAGGUAAUUUUAUUUAUUGCAUUUGAUUUUGUUAGAUUAUUUUAAACAACAUUUUAAUUAGUAUCCUUUCUUUUAUUAUUUGUAUGUAGAAAUGGCAAGUGGAGGUUGUGCUAUGUUGCCCCCUAGGCCACCCAAGCGUUAGCAAGCAAAUUGUCAUUGAAAAAGUAGGUGGAUCGCACAUUGAAAGUAUGUAAGUCUUAUAUCAUUCCAAAAUCACUCUCAUGCCAUUCCUAUACUUGGACAAUUUGAUUUCUAUGCAUUUGUACUUCAUCAAGAAUACCGUAAAAUUUUCAUCUUUAUUCGAAUUUGAUCUCUAUGAUUUUUAUGCAAUACGUUUUUAAACAAAUUUCCUCUUAUAGAUGUGUUAAUGUUGACCCAUGUGAAUGUAUUGAAUGUACUGAAACAAUAUAAAGGGAGCAUCUUUCUCACUGUUACUAUUAUAUGCCGUUUUCUUUUUCUAGGUCUCUAGCUUCACAUGGUGAUAAGGUGAUAGGUGGUUUACAUUAAGGCAUAAGAAGAGUUUCGAGGGAUAAGACUACGAAGACAAAUGUGGGCACACCUUCCAAAAUCACUUCAGCACAUAAAGAAUGAUAUUUUAGGUGUGGAAGACUUGAACUUUGGAAUGUUUAUUUUAGAUGUGGAAGACUUGAACUUUGAUGUUUAUUUUAAGUUUAGACUUUUGGAAGAUUUGAACUUUGAUGUUUAUUUAACUUUGGACUUUGAAAGACUUGAUUAUAAUUGAACUUUGAAUUGAAUGUUUAUUUUCAUUGUCUUUGACGAUUCUAUUAGAAAUUUGGAAUGUUUAUUUUGAUGAUUAUGUUGAAAUGGGACUUAUUACAAAAUGGCUACAAGUUGUUUUCUACUUUUCAUAGAAAUUUUUUUAGCUACUUGGAAACCCAAAAAAAAAAAAAACAAUAAAAAAAAAAACCGAACCAAGCCGAAACUGAACCGAGAAAAACCAAACCGAAUACAAACUGAACCAAACACAAACCGAUUGAAAACUGAACCAAAUUGACUCGAACAGUAAUUUCGGUUCGGUUUCCAAUUUUGGCAAAAAAUCGAACCUAACGAACUGAACCCACCCCUAAUAUGAGCCCCCUGAAGAAUUUGCAUUGGAAGAAUUGCCAUAUGCAUUUCCAUUGGAUGAAUUAUCAUUGGACUGAGAACUACCACGUCUAGUAAUCAUAGUAGAGAGAAAUGGAGUUGUAGAGUUAUUACUGUCAAUCAUAGCUUCUUCAACAAGCAAUUAAGACCUCAAAUCUUUGAUAGAAAUCACAUGUUCCUUUCCCCUAAUUAUGGAUCUAAUAGUAUUAUACUUGGAUGGCAAACCAUUUAGAGUAAGAAUUACUAUAUCAUCAUCAUCAAAUAAAACACCAGUUGCAGAAAGAUAGUCUCUAACUUCUUUAAUCCUUUGAAGAUACAAAGAAAUAGAAUCAUUAUCAUUUUUGAUAGUUUGCAAUUCUGACUUAAGUUGAAAGAUGCUGAUGCGUGUGAUAGUAGAAAAUUGUUCUUUAAGCAUUGCCCAUAAAUCUUGAGCACUAACAUUACCAAUGGCACAAGACAAUGUAGAUGGUGAAAUGGUAGCAGUAAUCAACUGUAUCAAUGCUCUAUCAUGCAUUUUCACACUUUAUACUCAUCAGUUUCAGGUUGUGGAGUUAAACCUCCAAAGAUAACAUUUGAACCACUUGAUGCAACAAGAGACAAUUUUGGUGGACACAAUGUUGAACCAUCCACAAACCCUAAAAUCUCAUGAUCUUCAAGUAGAAGGUGUAGCUGAAAAUGCCAAGUCACGUAGUUCGAAUCAUCAAGUUUGACCGUCACUGAUUUUGAUACAAUGGAUAUUAGGGACAUGAUCGGAGAUUGAAGAAUCUGCAACUGAGAAGUAGUAACCAUUGUUGUAGAAAAUCAAGAACCUGUGAAGAGAAUUUAAGAAACUUUGUAGAGAAAAUCCUGAGCCAGGACUUGUAUCGAAUGCUUGGUGUGCAGAGAAAAAUCUUCAAGAAAGUGAAUGUAGGAGAAGAGAGAGAAGUCUCCAAGAUCCACAAUGAACAAGAAAGAGAUAGAGAGAUCAGAAAUGUCGAGUGAAACAACAAGAUCGAACAAUAUCACCGAGCGAUUAGCUUUCUUCGACGAUGGUACCAUAUAAACCAAAGCACAUUAUAGAGAACUAGUGCAAGAAUAAGGAAGAAGAAGAACAAAGCGUUUAGAGAGAAAAUGAAGAUUGUAUUCAAUGAGAGUUUUUCAUUACAUUCAUUCGUACACUGUAACUUUCUUUUAUAUUAGUUCUUACAACUAAUCUUACUUACUUUGUAUAUUUCUAACUGCCUAACUCUUUAUUACAUCAGUCUAACAACUUGUACUAACAACCUCACUACUCAUUAGACAAAUGGUAGUUAAUCUAAUCAUUACAUUAUAUCCUAACAGUAACAAAUGACGCUAUAAGUGAUAAAACGGCCAUGCAAUAAUAUCAAAUCAAAAAACAAUAAUAUGGCAUAGUGAAUGGGACGAAAAAAAAGGAUGCAAUGAAUUUGUAUUUUGAAAUACUCAACAAAAUUCCAAUAGAUUAUUCAGAAACUUUCAGUUCUGUUGUUAGACAUUUAAUUGCUAGACUCAUUUGGCUUUGGCUACUAGUCACAAAUGAAGUCUCAGACAACUAGAUGUUAUAAAUGAUUUUCUUUAUGGAGAUUUACAAGAAGAGGUUUAUAUGCAUCAACCUCAACAUUUUGUCUAUCCAAAAUAUAUAUCCAUCUCAUGUGCAAAUUAGUUAAGUCCUUGUAUGGACUUAAACAAGCUCCUAGAGCUUGGCAUUCCAAAUUCACAGGAGUAUUACCUGCUUUGGGUUUUGUUGCUUUUCCAUCUGAUACUAGUCUCUUUGUGAAACAUGAUGGAACAAAUAUGAUCAUUUUAUUGCUUUAUGUUUAUGAUAUUAUCUUAAUAGGUUCUGAUGUUUCUCAAGUUCAAUUAGUAAUUUACAUUAUUGGUGAAUUGUUUGAUUUAAAAGAUAUGGCAAGGUGACAUACUUUCUUGGUCUUCAAAUUCAGUACAAAGAUAAUGGUGAUCUGCUUGUGUAUAAAAAAAAAAGUGUGAAACAUAGAUGUUAGCUUGCACCAACUCCAUCCAAAUCACAUACUCCUAUCUUUGAUCCAACUUUAUUCAUAUUUUUCAGGUUAAAAGAAUUAUGAGGUAUCUAUAGGGUACAUUGGAUUGUAGAUUGACUUAUAAAUCUUCAUCUACAAUUUUAGCACACUUAGAUUCUGAUUGGGUUAGCUGACAUUAAUACAAGGAGGUAUGUUACAAUUUAUGUAGUCUUUGUGGGAUGUAACCCAAUUUCUUGGCAAUCCAGAAAAAAAGUCUUCAGUGUCUAGGAGUUCUACUGAAGCGGAGUAUAAGUCAUUAGCUCAUUGUGUUGUUGAUGCUUGUUGGAUUAGAUCCAUAUUUAAGGACUUACAUGUGGUCAUUCCUUUUCCUAUCUUACAUUGUGAUAAUCGUUCUACAGUUGCUCGUAGUCCAAAUUCAAUUUUCACUCUCGGAUAAAACAUCUUGACACAAAUUAUCAAUUUGUUAGGGAAAAGGUUCAAAAAUUAGAUCUUCUGGUUCACUACAUUUCUACCAAAGAGCAAGUUGUAGACAUCCUAACUAAAGGUCUUCAUAAUCCAGUGUUUGUUGAUCAUCGCUACAAUCUUAACCAUAGAAACCCAGGUUAAGAUUGAAAGGGAGUAACACUACCAAAUAAAAUUAAAAAAAAAGAAAAACCCAUUGCAGACGAAAUAACUUUUUGUCGCUUACAACUUUGCUCGACAACAUUCUGUCGGGUAAGGUCGUCGUGCAAAACCUUUUACUCAAAUGUUUACCCGACGGAUACUAAACAUUUGUUGGGCAUAUAGAGUUGGCCCCAUGAAAUAAAGUUAUCAAGUAAAGGUGUUUGGCUUGACGUCACUAUCUUCGUCCAACAAAAUUUCGUCGAACAAAUAGUAAUUUCUGGUGGUGUAAUAACAGAAUGCCAUAUUUUCACUUGUGUAUUGGUCCUGAUGUCACUUGUGUGUUAGUUGCUUAAUAACUAAGUUGUGUAGUAACUUAGUAGUCAAGUAAAUGUAAGAAGGCUAUAAAUAGCAACUCUGUAUUCUUUUUACAGGAUAAUGAAAAGUCGGUUCUGUUACUUCUUCAAAUCCAUAACUCUUCUUCUUCUCAAAACCUUAAGGAGACCAAAUUUUUUAAACCAAAUUUGUAUGCAAAAUGAUGUGAUUGUAGAUGAUUGGAUUAUUAAUAAGUGUCAAUUAAUGUACGUGUUUCUUAAUGGUAACACAUCAUGUGAUUUGCAAAUUUGGUUUAAAAAUUUGGUCUCCCUAGUAUUAUCCAUUACUCAAAUGUUCAAAUAAAUCCUAAAUAAGUGCGGAUUUUCUUGAUGACUACGCGCAUGGUCCAACAAGAGAGACAUGUAGCUCACCUUUGCUUUUAGUAACAUGUUUAGAACUUUAUCCAUUUACCUAUCAAGCUUUACUUACAUAUUAGUUCUUCAAUCUCCAAAAAUGGGUAUCUAUUAGUCCCCAAAUUUAAGUUAAUUAACCAUUACCUUAAUCUAAAGUCCGCACUUUCAAAAUGGGCCUUUUAUAAUAGUUUAGGACUGUUUUAAAAAGAACUAGCUAGUCAUGAGCGUUUUUGUUAUAUAUCAUUCUACUGUAAAUAUGUUGAUGUAUUUAUAGAAAAUAAGUGCUACGAUAGCACAAAACACUAAAUUUGUUCUCGAGUUAGAAACAAACUUUUGGUUAUCUUAAAGCAGUCUAAGCAUUUCCAGAGCAAGUCCCAACACAUGUCUUUAGCUUUAGGUGAGUUACCUGUAAAAAAUUAUUACUUUAGUCUAAAGAAGGUUUUUCAAUUGCACUGUACAAAUGAAUAGUCUUUAGAGCUGAAUUCCACUUUAUUUAUGAGGCCGCCACUAACUCUCUCUGCCACUAAUCUUCAUGUUGUGUGUUGAUGAUCGUGGAAAGGCAGGGGUGCGAUGGUCAUUUUAGUCUGUAGGGUUUCGAACGGGUUGGGUGGGUUAAAGACUUUCAUUUCCUUUCUUUCUGAGCUGCAAUGGGACUCGAUGAGACCAUGUCGUCGGGAGAGAGAGACUGACCGAGCAGAGAGAGAAGAAAGACACGGAGGGAGAGAGAUAGGGAUUUCGUGAGAGGAAGGCAUGCGGCUUGCAGGCAGACAAAGUCACAGGGGGUGUACGAUUCGAGGGAGAGGGAGACAGCGCAAAAGAGAGAGUGGGAGAGGGAGUAAGGAUCGCUUGCUGAGGGUUUCAUAGUUAGGAGGCCAUGCUGAUGGAGAUAGAGAUAGAGAUAGGAGAGGGAGAAGGAGAGAGGGAGAUAGAGACAAAGCGACAUUGAGAUAAGGAAAGGGAAGAGUGGGGAUUUCAGUGCCAUUGCUGUAGAUCAUUGAUCUUCUUUGAUCCCAUCUCCGUGUUCUUCUCAGCCUCUCAUAGUCGCAGCAUCACUCACCCACUGACUCACUCAUUCACUAUAGGUACACCUCUUAAACCCCCAUUUGUAUUUUAUCUUUCCUGAUUGAUGAUUUAAUUUGGGUUUUAUUGACACACCCCCAGACAGAGAUGCGGUGUUCUGACAGAAUUCACAAAAGUAUGACUCACCCUCGGGUGUUACAUCUUAGUAAUUGUAUCUUUAAAGCUUCCAAACUAUGUAAAUGGUUAUGUCACUCUCACGUGACGGCCAGCAUGCCCUCCUUCAGGAUGGGGUGUGUCAUUUAUUAAUAGUUUAAUUUGGAGUUUAAUUGAAGUUUUAAUUCAGGUUUGUAGUUGGAGUUUAAUUAAGGAUUUUACUUAGGUUUUGAAUUAGGUGGGUUUUUGGUAUUUCAUCUCCCCAAGUUUUUCACUUUCAUUGUGGAUUGUUGUUUUUGAAUUUAAUUAGCUUUGGGUUUUUCAUUUUUCUCAAAUUCCCAGUUGAUUUGGCUUCCAAAUAAAAACUAACAAAUCACCUAAAAAAAGAGCUCCCAUUUGUAAUUUGAGGAGAUUUGUUGGGUUUUGUAUGGUUGCCCUAGACAACGGAUAAUAAGGGUUCUGUUUGAAUGUCUGCUUGCUCUGCCGUUGUUUCUUAAAUGAUUUUUGGGCUGCUGCUUCCCUUAUGUUUCCAUUUAGUUCUUUACAAUCUUAGACUCUUUAAUUGCAUUGGUAUGUGAUAUGCUGCUUUUUCCCCCUUUAUGCAUUGUUUAGCUGAAUGAUGAGUACUCUGAUGUGAAAAGAGAUGACCUCUUGAAGGCACUAUGGUAUGAUUUGUUUAUUUUUAUUCUUCCUUAUUGCAAAACACUUUCAUUUUUACUGGUUCAGCCCAUUUGUUGCCUAAAUUGUUCAAUGCUAUAAUUCUCUGGGAUUCUGAACUUUGUUAUGUUCAUUUUACAAGGGGGUACAACUUCUAUGAUGAUUUUUCUGAUUUUUGUUCCUGACAUUGUUGCUGACACAAAAAUUUCUGAUUAAAUUAAUAUUGGCCAAUGACUAUGUUCAUAUUAAUAUACAAUGUUCUUUAUGGCUUGACUUGGACUAGGACUCUGACUCUCUGAGUGCACAUGAGAAUGCUUUUUCUCUAAUACUUUUACAAUAAUUAUAGGAAGUUGUAACUGGAACAGGAUAGAAUUGUAAAGCAGUUCUAAAUACCUCUUUUUUUAUUUAUUAGUGUGUGUGUGUGUGUGUGUGUGUAAAGGCUUGCCUUACAAAUUAAGGCACCUAAAGAGAAGGAAAAUUGUACUUGGGCAUAUGAGAAACUUAUCUUUUAUUGCUCUAUGUUUGCUUUGCCAAAGCAACAUUUAAAAUGGCAAACUCAACGUUGUCUGUGUAUAUAAAUAUAUGUGUGUGUGAAUAUACGUGUGUGUAAAUAGAUUUAUACAUAAAGGGAAGAUGGAUGGAUAGGUGUAUGCUUAGUUUGUAAGAGAAGAAGAGAAAAUGAAAACCACACCAAACAACUCGCAUUUAAAGCUCAUUUUCUUCUUCUCUUUUGACAUAAAUCUCUUUUUGUUAGAUUGCUAGAGGGUUGCAAUGUGUGAGGGCCAUGUAUGUUUUAUUACAAUCGUAUCUAUAGAUUUGGGAACUGGAGAAAAGAAAUGGAACAAACCAUUUGCAUGGCAGAGGCUGUAUAUCAUAUGUACCAAUUGGAUCUGAUCAAUGUGUUGCCAAACAAAUUGGUGGGUUGAGAAUUGGGAACCUUUAAAGGAAAUGCCUCAUGAGACUUUUGAUUUUAAUAUUCAUUAUUUAGCUGUUGAAAGUUUGCAACUUUUUGUUGGGGUCUCAAAAAAGUUAGGACUGGUUCCCUUUUGUCAUUUUUUUGUACGGUGAGAAGUGAGAACCUUUAGUUAAUGGGGUUUGUUUUUUAUUCAGAUUAAUUUGGUUCAUUUGCUGCUAGGACGGUUGCAAUUUCAAGUAAUUUUCUUUUUUGUGUAUAUUAUGUUAGUCAUUUAUGAAUAAAAUGCUAAAUGACUUACAUAUUUGAUUCGAAUUUUGCAUGUUUGUGAUUUUUAGGAUUGCACUCUGACUGUGCAGCAUCUUCAAAUAUACCAUGUGGCUGGACUAAUUGUUUGCAAGUUUGUCAAAUGUAUGAGGAAGAAGGACUUUUACAUGAAGUGUUGCACAUAGGUAUUAUUUAAUAUUAUACAACAAUAUAAUUUGAGAGUUCUAAUUUUUCCAUUUUACUACCUGCAUUGGAAAAGUUAUUGAUAGAAGUUUCUGAUUGUUUACUAUAAAAGGAUCAAAGGACAGGACAACAAAUAUAAGAUUGUAUGGCUUCUGCAAUCGUAAACUAAAGAGGUAUUAUAAUCUAUUUCUCUCACCAACUUUGAUCCACAACUGCAAAUUGUAUAAAUACAAUAACAAAACAGGUUUAGUGUGUGAUAGUUUGGCAAAUGUUUAAUAUGUGACCAAUAUAUAUAUCAUCUGUUCCUUUGUUUCUUACCGUUAUAAAUGAUCCCAUAUGUAACAAAUUUACAAAUUAACUACUUACACUAAUACUAUAAUGAAUCUUUAAUGGACGCUUCACAAUUUUGUUGAUAAGAUUUGUACUUUUGUUAAACAGAAAAGUCGUUCUACUAAUACCAUUCACCAAAGUGCAAAAUGAUCAGCAAACAAUUUUGUGAUUCUUUUAAAGCCCCUCGGUAAGAUUUCAAACUUUACUUCCAAUUGUAUCUUCACUCUGUUUCUAUGCUUUCAAAAAGUUUCAGUUUUUUGUAUUCCUCCAGCCCACCAAACACAGUUUUCAUUUGGAAAAAGAAUUUACCUUUGAGUAGGAGUUGUAGUCUUGGUUACUAUUGUUUUAGUUCAUGCUACUAAUCAUGCAUUCGGUAGAUUUAUAUAUACAACAAUGUUUAAAUGCUAAUCGAUUACUAACAUAAUGUGGUCUUCACAAGAAAAACAGUGGAUUCUCAAGAGGGGCUUCAAUUUACAGAAGAAUUACAAGGUCUUAUAAGCUCUUCAUAAUUUUAUAUAAUAAUUUAGAUAAAAUAUCGAUGAGAAAUAAUAUAUAUACCAAAUAAAAAUCACUAAAAUCUCUUUGUUUUGUUUCUUCUGUGUGUAGCAGACGUUAUCAACAUGGAAGAUGGCUAGCCAUGAUUAGAAAGGUUACUGGAAAUAAGGAUCUCUAUCUUGGGCAUUCAGUAAGUGAUUUUUCAAACUUUAUUUGUGUUUUUUCGUGUCUAAAAAAUUUCCUAAUAUUUUUAAUAUAAUCAGUGAAACCACGAUUUCAUGUACUAGCUAGCUACUAGGAUGCUUGGUUUUUGUAUGAUUCCGAUUAUUUGAGGUAUCUGGGUAAAGUUUUGUUUAAAGUAGGAAAAUGAAUUUAAACUCAAGCUUCUUUACAAGCUUGAGAAGAGAUUUUAGUCUUCUAAUGAUUAAUAUUGAAGAUAAAAUUAGGGUAAUACAUGUACUACACAUAUUGCUAACUAUGCUAGACCAAAAGUAUCAUCAUCGCUGCUUAAACAUACCAAUCAGUUUAUAUUUUGUGAACACAUAUGACGACUGAGGGGUUUAACCUUCAAUUGCAAUCUCAUUUGUAAAGCUUUUACUAUCGCAACUGAUACACACGUGUAAAGCUUUUACUAUCGCAACUGAUACACACGUGUAAAGCUAACUGAUACACACGUGUAAAGCUUUUACUAUCUCAAAUGUAAUUAUGUAAUAAAAGAAGAGGCAAAUAUGUAAUAAGUGAGGAGCCCUUAUUCUAUAAAAGGACUCCUCACUCUCCUCAUUGAAGGAGGCCAAUUCUUAGGCCUGACUUUCACCCUCUCAGAGCCUCACAUCCCCUCUCAUAUUCAGAGAAGCUCAUCCUCACAUAAGGAAGCUCUCUCUCCCUCUCCCUCUCUCACAGAGAAAUACAAUAAUCAAUGUGAACGUAGCCCAAACAUUGGGGUGAACCACGAUACAUCUUGUGUUAUUUACUUUCUUGCAGUUUCGCAGUCGAAUUUACGUUAUUCCAAGACCCAUCCGGUUUUGUGCAUCAACAUUUGGCGCCGUCUGUAGGAAACGACAUAAAAAACUAUGUCAGUUCUCUUUCAUUUUUUUCAUCUCCACCGUGAAUCUACAAAACCCACAUAGAGACACACCCAUUCGAUUUCCAGAAAGAGAUAUGGGUGUGAGAAU